Long non-coding RNA from Dromaius novaehollandiae (emu), 695 nucleotides. RefSeq lists it as uncharacterized. The record is from RefSeq and is a predicted model, not a curated record. Lineage: Eukaryota; Metazoa; Chordata; Aves; Casuariiformes; Dromaiidae. The transcript is spliced from 2 exons.
CUGAAUCACCUCCGUUAUCUGUGUGUUUUCCUCCCUGUCCCGCUGCGGAAGGAUGGAUGGAUGGAUGGAUGGAUGAUUCUCUCGGCCGCUCACGCCCCACUAACAGCCUCUGGUUUCGGCUCGUCCUUUCGGAGCACCCAGCGGGCCAUCUCCUUCCAGACCCUCCUGCAGAUGCUGGCCCGAAUAUCCAGGGACCUGCACGGGAACGGGGCAAGCCCGCAGCGAGGCAAACACGGCAACCCAGGGACCCGGGAGCGACCGCUUCCCGCAGUGAGGUCGGUGCACACGUCUCCCGUGGAUGGCUCAAGUAAUUUUGGAACCUCUAUAAGCCCCAGAUGUCCACCGUGUCCUGCAGCAAGGGGGUCCCGGCUUAACUGUGCACCGUCUGCAGAGAAAUCGCCUGGAGGCCGGCCACGUUUUAGCUCCCGCUGCCAGAAACCCGGCACGGGGAGCCCCGCACCUCUCCUCCCGGGAUGUGCCACAUCCCUGCACGGCUGAUACCAGCCCCGGGGCCAGAAAUAACCCUGAGCAGCUCAGGCCCGUUUGGGUUUAUCCUGCCUGGUGAGGGCAGAUGCACGUGUGUCCUCCAGGCAGAUCUCAGGUGAGAGCACCCGCCCGAGCGGCAGCAGCGCUCUGGGAGCCGUGUCUGUGUGUCUGUCUGCUGGCAAAAACAAAUAAAAAGGUGUUGGGUGCCA